Episyrphus balteatus (marmalade hoverfly) is the source of this 650-nucleotide long non-coding RNA. RefSeq lists it as uncharacterized. NCBI's taxonomy places the organism in Eukaryota, Metazoa, Arthropoda, Insecta, Diptera, Syrphidae. The transcript is spliced from 3 exons. The record is from RefSeq and is a predicted model, not a curated record.
UUUUUUUACUUUUUUUUUGUAUAAUAUUUCUUGAAUUCACCAAGUUCUGUCUAUGCUAUUCAAUCUUUUGUUAUCCUUGACAGGGUUUUGCUUGUUAUGACACUGCCACGAAGUAAAAUGAAAAUAAAAAACUGGACAAACGAAAUUGGAGCAAAUGAGCCUGCCUGCUGUUCCUCUAACUUAACUUCAUACCGCGCGCUGUAUACAGUCGAAGCCGCCACCGCUGCUGCUGCCGCCGUUUCUUCUAUUAUGUAUGUACUGACUGUGUUGUUGAUGAUGACAAAUGAAGUUGGUUGCACAUUUUGAAUACCAAAUGAGUCACAGGGAGCCACAAUCACAAAAUAUAUAGGUACGUGGGUUGUUGGUAGAGGUACUUGGAAUAUAAUGUACAUAUUGUAGAUGGGUUCUUUCUGUUUUGAAAAACAGGACACACAACGGACGGGACAGAAUGUACAUAUUUAUGUGCGGGUGGAUGGUAUAUUAUUAAGGAACUUAUAAUUGUAAUGAAAUAUUUAUAAAUGAGACGACAAACGGAUGAAGAUAUGGAGUCCGCAUGAGACCCAAGUUAAUUGAUGUAAACGAACUCAUUGUGGGAGGUCUGUUUGGAUUGGGAUUUUGGUAAUUUAUUAUGUUGGACUUAAAAAUAUAUA